UUGAACGCUGGCGGAAUGCUUUACACAUGCAAGUCGGGCGGCAGCGCGGGGGCAACCCUGGCGGCGAGCGGCGAACGGGUGAGUAACAUAUCGGAACGUACCCAGACGUGGGGGACAACUAGUCGAAAGACUAGCUAAUACCGCAUACGUCCUGAGGGAGAAAGCGGGGGAUCGCAAGACCUCGCGCGUUUGGAGCGGCCGAUAUCUGAUUAGCUAGAUGGUGGGGUAAAGGCCCACCAUGGCGACGAUCAGUAGCUGAUCUGAGAGGAUGAUCAGCCACACUGGAACUGAGACACGGUCCAGACUCCUACGGGAGGCAGCAGUGGGGAAUUUUAGACAAUGGGGGAGACCCUGAUCCAGCCAUUCCGCGUGAGUGAAGAAGGCCUUCGGGUUGUAAAGCUCUUUCGGCAGGAACGAAACGGCGGAAUCUAAUACAUUCCACUAAUGACGGUACCUGAAGAAGAAGCACCGGCUAACUACGU
This 482-nucleotide ribosomal RNA is filed under the name uncultured bacterium. RNAcentral's name for it is "bacterial SSU rRNA". It matches the Rfam family "Bacterial small subunit ribosomal RNA", at positions 30 to 506 of the family's 1533-position model. The record is from RNAcentral.